AUUGAACGCUGGCGGCAUGCCUCACACAUGCAAGUCGAACGGCAGCACGGGGGCAACCCUGGUGGCGAGUGGCGAACGGGUGAGUAACACAUCGGAACGUGCCCAGUAGUGGGGGAUAACGAGUCGAACGAUUCGCUAAUACCGCAUACGACCUGAGGGCGAAAGCGGGGGAUCGCAAGACCUCGCGCUAUUGGAGCGGCCGAUAUCUGAUUAGCUAGUUGGUGGGGUAAAAGCCUACCAAGGCGACGAUCAGUAACUGGUCUGAGAGGACGAUCAGUCACACUGGAACUGAGACACGGUCCAGACUCCUACGGGAGGCAGCAGUGGAGAAUUUUGGACAAUGGGGGCAACCCUGAUCCAGCAAUGCCGCGUGAGUGAAGAAGGCCUUCGGGUUGUAAAGCUCUUUUGUCAGGGAAGAAAAGGCUCUUUCUCAUACCAUAUGCCGAUGACGGUACCUGAAGAAUAAGCACCGGCUAACUACGUGCCAGCCGCCGCAGUAA
Molecule: ribosomal RNA, 500 nt
Filed under: uncultured bacterium
Lineage: Bacteria
Description: partial 16S ribosomal RNA
Rfam family: Bacterial small subunit ribosomal RNA
Source: RNAcentral